RNAcentral lists this ribosomal RNA (116 nucleotides) under Diaphorina citri (Asian citrus psyllid). The record is from RNAcentral. Lineage: Eukaryota; Metazoa; Arthropoda; Insecta; Hemiptera; Psyllidae.
GCCAGCGGCAACAGCACUUCGAAUGCACCGGUAAUGUGAAUCACUGAAGUUAAACAACGUUACGUGUGGUUAGUAUCCGGAUGGGUGACCAUUUGGGCAAUAACGUAGUGCUGGUU